RNAcentral lists this long non-coding RNA (920 nucleotides) under Helianthus annuus (common sunflower). RNAcentral describes it as "hypothetical non coding rna". The record is from RNAcentral. Lineage: Eukaryota; Viridiplantae; Streptophyta; Magnoliopsida; Asterales; Asteraceae.
GCCGUAAGGCGCGUACGGGCCUAACGGGCAACGACGGACUUAGUUUCGACGCUCGUUAGGCCCGUACGCGCCUUACGGACGACGUCGACUAAAUAAUAUUUUUUUAUUAUUUAGUCGACGUCGUCCGUAAGGCGCGUACGGGCCUAACGAGCGUCGAAACUAAGCCCGUCGUUAAAAUUUUAACGACGGGUUUAGUUUCGACGCUCGUUAGGCCCGUACGCGCCUUACGGACGACGUCGACUAAAUAAUAUUUUUUUUAUUAUUUAGUCGACGUCGUCCGUAAGGCGCGUACGGGCCUAACGGGCAACGACGGACUUAGUUUCGACGCUCGUUAGGCCCGUACGCGCCUUACGGACGACGUCGACUAAAUAAUAUUUUUUUUAUUAUUUAGUCGACGUCGUCCGUAAGGCGCGUACGGGCCUAACGAGCGUCGAAACUAAGCCCGUCGUUAAAAUUUUAACGACGGGUUUAGUUUCGACGCUCGUUAGGCCCGUACGCGCCUUACGGACGACGUCGACUAAAUAAUAUUUUUUUUAUUAUUUAGUCGACGUCGUCCGUAAGGCGCGUACGGGCCUAACGGGCAACGACGGACUUAGUUUCGACGCUCGUUAGGCCCGUACGCGCCUUACGGACGACGUCGACUAAAUAAUAUUUUUUUUAUUAUUUAGUCGACGUCGUCCGUAAGGCGCGUACGGGCCUAACGAGCGUCGAAACUAAGCCCGUCGUUAAAAUUUUAACGACGGGUUUAGUUUCGACGCUCGUUAGGCCCGUACGCGCCUUACGGACGACGUCGACUAAAUAAUAUUUUUUUUAUUAUUUAGUCGACGUCGUCCGUAAGGCGCGUACGGGCCUAACGGGCAACGACGGACUUAGUUUCGACGCUCGUUAGGCCCGUACGCGCCUUACGGACGACGUCGACU